GACGUAGGGCGCGAGCGUUGUCCGGAUUUAUUGGGCGUAAAGCGCACGUAGGCGGCUUGGUAUGUCGGAUGUGAAAACCCAGGGCUCAACCCUGGGCCUGCAUUCGAUACGGGCAGACUAGAGUUCGGUAGGGGAGACUGGAAUUCCUGGUGUAGCGGUGAAAUGCGCAGAUAUCGGGAGGAACACCGGUGGCGAAGGCGGGUCUCUGGGCCGAAACUGACGCUGAGGAGCGAAAGCAUGGGGAGCAAACAGG
RNAcentral lists this ribosomal RNA (253 nucleotides) under uncultured bacterium. RNAcentral describes it as "partial 16S ribosomal RNA". It matches the Rfam family "Bacterial small subunit ribosomal RNA", at positions 524 to 776 of the family's 1533-position model. The record is from RNAcentral.